GGCGAGCGUUAUCCGGAAUGAUUGGGCGUAAAGGGUGCGUAGGUGGCAGAUCAAGUCUGGAGUAAAAGGUAUGGGCUCAACCCGUACUGGCUCUGGAAACUGAUCAGCUAGAGAACAGAAGAGGACGGCGGAACUCCAUGUGUAGCGGUAAAAUGCGUAGAUAUAUGGAAGAACACCGGUGGCGAAGGCGGCCGUCUGGUCUGGAUUCUGACACUGAAGCACGAAAGCGUGGGGAGCAAAUAGGAUUAGAUACCCUAGUAGUCCACGCCGUAAACGAUGGGAACUAGGUGUUGGGGGAAUAAUUCAGUGCCGCAGUUAACGCAGUAAGUUCUCCGCCUGGGGAGUAUGCACGCAAGUGUGAAACUCAAAGGAAUUGACGGGGGCCCGCACAAGCGGUGGAGUAUGUGGUUUAAUUCGAAGCAACGCGAAGAACCUUACCAGGCCUUGACAUCCCUUGCAGAGGUAUAGAGAUAUAUCCGAGGUUAUCAAGGAGACAGGUGGUGCAUGGUU
Molecule: ribosomal RNA, 510 nt
Filed under: uncultured Erysipelotrichaceae bacterium
Lineage: Bacteria; Bacillati; Bacillota; Erysipelotrichia; Erysipelotrichales; Erysipelotrichaceae
Description: bacterial SSU rRNA
Rfam family: Bacterial small subunit ribosomal RNA
Source: RNAcentral